Molecule: ribosomal RNA, 491 nt
Filed under: uncultured bacterium
Lineage: Bacteria
Description: bacterial SSU rRNA
Rfam family: Bacterial small subunit ribosomal RNA
Source: RNAcentral
ACGAGUUUGAUCAUGGCUCAGGAUGAACGCUGGCGGCGUGCCUAAUACAUGCAAGUCGAACGAGGUGCUUUUGUAGCAAUACGAGGAGUAUCCUAGUGGCGAACGGGUGAGUAACGCGUGGGUGACCUACCCCAAAGUGUGGAAUAACAGUCCGAAAGGAUUGCUAAUGCCGCAUGUGGUCUGCGAGUUUAGAAAUCGUUGACUAAAGGAGCAAUUCGCUUUGGGAGGGACCUGCGUCCCAUCAGCUAGUUGGUGAGGUAACGGCUCACCAAGGCUACGACGGGUAGGGGACCUGAGAGGGUGGCCCCCCACAAUGGAACUGAAACACGGUCCAUACACCUACGGGUGGCAGCAGUAGGGAAUAUUGCACAAUGGGCGAAAGCCUGAUGCAGCAACGCCGCGUGCGCGAUGAAGGUCUUCGGAUCGUAAAGCGCUUUUCUGAGAGAUGAGAAAGGACAGUAUCUCAGGAAUAAGUCUCGGCUAACUACGUG